This 377-nucleotide ribosomal RNA is filed under the name uncultured organism. Its description in RNAcentral is "partial 16S ribosomal RNA". It matches the Rfam family "Bacterial small subunit ribosomal RNA", at positions 527 to 897 of the family's 1533-position model. The record is from RNAcentral.
GUAGGUGGCAAGCGUUGUCCGGGAAUUAUUGGGGCGUAAAGCGCGCGCAGGCGGUUCUUUAAGUCUGAUGUGAAAGCCCACGGGCCCAACCGUGGGAGGGUCAUUGGAAACUGGAGAACUUGAGUACAGAAGAGGAAAGCGGAAUUCCACGUGUAGCGGUGAAAUGCGUAGAGAUGUGGAGGAACACCAGUGGCGAAGGCGGCUUUCUGGUCUGUAACUGACGCUGAGGCGCGAAAGCGUGGGGAGCAAACAGGAUUAGAUACCCUGGUAGUCCACGCCGUCAACGAUGAGUGCUAAGUGUUAGGGGGUUUCCGCCCCUUAGUGCUGCAGCUAACGCAUUAAGCACUCCGCCUGGGGAGUACGGCCGCAAAGGCUGA